Molecule: small nucleolar RNA, 138 nt
Organism: Tachyglossus aculeatus (Australian echidna)
Lineage: Eukaryota; Metazoa; Chordata; Mammalia; Monotremata; Tachyglossidae
Source: RefSeq, a predicted model, not a curated record
CCCCUCUCAGGAUUGCACCUGGAGAGUUUCCAGUACUCUACCAGUCUCAGCUACAGGAGGAAGAGUAAAGCAGAGACAUGCUCAUUCCAUUUCUAGCUUGGGCAAUGGCUAGUGAGUGGAAAGCAAUCUGCUAUAAGU